Molecule: ribosomal RNA, 1484 nt
Filed under: Helicobacter pylori
Lineage: Bacteria; Pseudomonadati; Campylobacterota; Epsilonproteobacteria; Campylobacterales; Helicobacteraceae
Description: bacterial SSU rRNA
Rfam family: Bacterial small subunit ribosomal RNA
Source: RNAcentral
AGAGUUUGAUCCUGGCUCAGAGUGAACGCUGGCGGCGUGCCUAAUACAUGCAAGUCGAACGAUGAAGCUUCUAGCUUGCUAGAAUGCUGAUUAGUGGCGCACGGGUGAGUAACGCAUAGGUCAUGUGCCUCUUAGUUUGGGAUAGCCAUUGGAAACGAUGAUUAAUACCAGAUACUCCCUACGGGGGAAAGAUUUAUCGCUAAGAGAUCAGCCUAUGUCCUAUCAGCUUGUUGGUAAGGUAAUGGCUUACCAAGGCUAUGACGGGUAUCCGGCCUGAGAGGGUGAACGGACACACUGGAACUGAGACACGGUCCAGACUCCUACGGGAGGCAGCAGUAGGGAAUAUUGCUCAAUGGGGGAAACCCUGAAGCAGCAACGCCGCGUGGAGGAUGAAGGUUUUAGGAUUGUAAACUCCUUUUGUUAGAGAAGAUAAUGACGGUAUCUAACGAAUAAGCACCGGCUAACUCCGUGCCAGCAGCCGCGGUAAUACGGAGGGUGCAAGCGUUACUCGGAAUCACUGGGCGUAAAGAGCGCGUAGGCGGGAUAGUCAGUCAGGUGUGAAAUCCUAUGGCUUAACCAUAGAACUGCAUUUGAAACUACUAUUCUAGAGUGUGGGAGAGGUAGGUGGAAUUCUUGGUGUAGGGGUAAAAUCCGUAGAGAUCAAGAGGAAUACUCAUUGCGAAGGCGACCUGCUGGAACAUUACUGACGCUGAUUGCGCGAAAGCGUGGGGAGCAAACAGGAUUAGAUACCCUGGUAGUCCACGCCCUAAACGAUGGAUGCUAGUUGUUGGAGGGCUUAGUCUCUCCAGUAAUGCAGCUAACGCAUUAAGCAUCCCGCCUGGGGAGUACGGUCGCAAGAUUAAAACUCAAAGGAAUAGACGGGGACCCGCACAAGCGGUGGAGCAUGUGGUUUAAUUCGAAGAUACACGAAGAACCUUACCUAGGCUUGACAUUGAGAGAAUCCGCUAGAAAUAGUGGAGUGUCUGGCUUGCUAGACCUUGAAAACAGGUGCUGCACGGCUGUCGUCAGCUCGUGUCGUGAGAUGUUGGGUUAAGUCCCGCAACGAGCGCAACCCCCUUUCUUAGUUGCUAACAGGUCAUGCUGAGAACUCUAAGGAUACUGCCUCCGUAAGGAGGAGGAAGGUGGGGACGACGUCAAGUCAUCAUGGCCCUUACGCCUAGGGCUACACACGUGCUACAAUGGGGUGCACAAAGAGAAGCAAUACUGCGAAGUGGAGCCAAUCUUCAAAACGCCUCUCAGUUCGGAUUGUAGGCUGCAACUCGCCUGCAUGAAGCUGGAAUCGCUAGUAAUCGCAAAUCAGCCAUGUUGCGGUGAAUACGUUCCCGGGUCUUGUACUCACCGCCCGUCACACCAUGGGAGUUGUGUUUGCCUUAAGUCAGGAUGCUAAAUUGGCUACUGCCCACGGCACACACAGCGACUGGGGUGAAGUCGUAACAAGGUAACCGUAGGUGAACCUGCGGUUG